GGGGCUGUUUUGGUUUUGACAUUUAAAAAUCUUUAAAGUAUGAAGCAGGUCGAAGGUUGUAGUCUUCGUAAAAACUCACAUAUAAUAAAAUAAAUGCUGCUAACAACAUAAUAUUUUUUAAUCAUAAAUCAAUAAUUUCUAAUAAAUAUACUCUUAAUGCAUUAUCAAUUUAAUAAAAAUUAAUAAUUGACUAAUUUAUUGGAUUAUUUUAUAUUAGCAAUCUAAUUCGCUAUGAUUACUAUUUUUUUAGUUAUUUAUAGUUUAGAAUGAAUCAUCAAUUUAAUUUGUUCUUUGAAAAGAACUAAACCUGUGAAUGAGUGCUUUAAUGGAAUUUAGAUGGACGUGGGUUCAAUUCCCAUCAGCUCCA
RNAcentral lists this transfer-messenger RNA (367 nucleotides) under Actinocyclus subtilis. RNAcentral's name for it is "SsrA". It matches the Rfam family "transfer-messenger RNA". From Rfam's summary of the family: Bacterial tmRNA, also known as 10Sa RNA or SsrA, is named for its dual tRNA and mRNA-like properties. Its role is to liberate the mRNA from a stalled ribosome. Lineage: Eukaryota; Bacillariophyta; Coscinodiscophyceae; Coscinodiscales; Hemidiscaceae. The record is from RNAcentral.